Molecule: ribosomal RNA, 661 nt
Filed under: Streptomyces anthocyanicus
Lineage: Bacteria; Bacillati; Actinomycetota; Actinomycetes; Kitasatosporales; Streptomycetaceae
Description: bacterial SSU rRNA
Rfam family: Bacterial small subunit ribosomal RNA
Source: RNAcentral
CUUCGGUGGGGAUUAGUGGCGAACGGGUGAGUAACACGUGGGCAAUCUGCCCUUCACUCUGGGACAAGCCCUGGAAACGGGGUCUAAUACCGGAUACUGACCCUCGCAGGCAUCUGCGAGGUUCGAAAGCUCCGGCGGUGAAGGAUGAGCCCGCGGCCUAUCAGCUUGUUGGUGAGGUAAUGGCUCACCAAGGCGACGACGGGUAGCCGGCCUGAGAGGGCGACCGGCCACACUGGGACUGAGACACGGCCCAGACUCCUACGGGAGGCAGCAGUGGGGAAUAUUGCACAAUGGGCGAAAGCCUGAUGCAGCGACGCCGCGUGAGGGAUGACGGCCUUCGGGUUGUAAACCUCUUUCAGCAGGGAAGAAGCGAAAGUGACGGUACCUGCAGAAGAAGCGCCGGCUAACUACGUGCCAGCAGCCGCGGUAAUACGUAGGGCGCAAGCGUUGUCCGGAAUUAUUGGGCGUAAAGAGCUCGUAGGCGGCUUGUCACGUCGGUUGUGAAAGCCCGGGGCUUAACCCCGGGUCUGCAGUCGAUACGGGCAGGCUAGAGUUCGGUAGGGGAGAUCGGAAUUCCUGGUGUAGCGGUGAAAUGCGCAGAUAUCAGGAGGAACACCGGUGGCGAAGGCGGAUCUCUGGGCCGAUACUGACGCUGAGGAGC